GAGCGCGAGCGACGCUACACAUGCUACUGAGUAGCGGCUAGCGAACUGCACUACAAUGCGUCACGGACUAGCCUCACAUCAAGGCGGAAUACGCUGCUACUCGCAGGUCAGCAUACUGCGGUGAAUACGUUCCCGGGCCUUGUACACACCGCCCGUCACACCAUGGAAGUUGGCCACGCCCGAAGCCGUUACUCCAACCCUUGUGGAGGAGGACGUCGAAGGUGGGGCUGAUGACUGGGGUGAAGUCGUAACAAGGUAUCCGUACCGGAAGGUGCGGAUGGAUCACCUCCUAA
RNAcentral lists this ribosomal RNA (293 nucleotides) under uncultured Synechococcus sp. RNAcentral describes it as "partial 16S ribosomal RNA". It matches the Rfam family "Bacterial small subunit ribosomal RNA", at positions 1222 to 1533 of the family's 1533-position model. Lineage: Bacteria; Bacillati; Cyanobacteriota; Cyanophyceae; Synechococcales; Synechococcaceae. The record is from RNAcentral.